CAUCUGCAAACCGUUAGAUUUAGGUGGAACGAGCGGCUGAGAUCGUAUCGCGGUUCUUUUCAACCUCUUGACUGAGCUGACAUUUUCUCACUCUACAACCCUCAUUCUCUCCUCACUCACGUUCAUUCCUCUCUCCUCACUCAAAUUCAAACGCAAUCUUCUCUCUCCUCAACCGAUUUGCUUAAAAUUACACUUCAAAAACCGCCAAUUAUAUCUUAAUUUCGCGAAGAUUACAAAGAUUUUGAGCUUGAACAUUGCAUUUUCUGGUGUCGGAGCUUCGAUUUUUCCAGAGACUGAACUUCUAAGUUCUGCUUCUGUUAGACCUUUAUUUCUGUUGGAAUGGAAGCAUGUAUAGAGAACUAAGGACAUAGGAGGGGAAACUGGGAGAUGAAUGCAACUGAAUAAUAUGGUAUGUCAUCGAUAUUUCUUUUCCAAAACUACAUGUUGUGCUGCUUAGAUUAUAUUGUUCAAUCAAGACUGAUGAGAGCAGGGUGGAUUUAAUAUAUGAUUCUCUGCAACAGUGGUUUUAAUUUUUCAAUUUGUUUUCUGAUUUGAGAUUUUUAAUUCUAAACUUUCUGGUUGAUUUGUGUCAAGGAUUGUUUCUUUUGGUACUUGUUACACUCCCUGCAUCCGAAUUCCCAAAUGAAGUCCAAUUUUUAUUUAUUGUAUACCAUAAUGACUAUACAGAAAUAUCAUCGUUUUAUAACAAUUCUACGCUGUGUUUAUAUAUAUAUAUUCACGGUUACUGAAUAUUUGUGUUUAAUGUAGUUUAGAUGGUUGAUUGGUCUAUGUUGCCAUCUGAUCUUUUACGGCUGGACUAAUAAAGUAAACUAAAUCUCUAUAAAUGUAAAUAAAACCUGUCUAAAAGUUGAUAAGUGGAAGGAGGCUGAUGUAAUCUGGUUUUUGGGUCUCAAAAGCAAUGUGUAAUGUCAAUAGCCUAGGAGUUGUUGUUUUUCUUUUUCCGGUUUGAGUUAAACAACAGUUGUGGCUGCAAUUUGUUAAGUGUAUGUAGGUGGCUUAGCCAAAAUUAUAGGACUGGUAUAGAAUUGUUGGCAGCGUCUAGUUCAUGCAGUCAUGGUGGUGUCAAACCUGAUCAUGUCUACAGUAAAUCUAGGUGUUUGAUGUUGGUUUUUGUCUGGUUGCUUGAAGCUACUAUGAAAAGUCAAUAUGAUAUUGCUUACCUAUGCAACUUGAAUGUGUUAUGGGAUGUAGGCCGGUUAGGUUGUAUAAAUGUACUGAUUCAGCUAUUCUUAAUCAAAUGACACUAUAUUGAAUUGUUGUAUGCUUUGUAUGAUUGUAACUAUUUCGACACACUUUAAUGCUUCACAGUUGUAAAAACCAAAGACGCAGGAGAUAUAGCAGACAUUAAUGAGCCGAGCCAGUAGCAGGUGGAGUAGCUUACGCUGUAGAAAUCUUAGGACACUUGCGAGGUUGAGAACUGCUUGUGAGAGAGUAAAGAGCGAACUUUCUUCAGUAGAAAUCAAAUGACACUAUAUUGAAGUGUUGUAUGCUCUCCUCAUGCUUUGUGUUGAGGCAAUCAAAAUGAAUCGGGGACGAGACUUUGUGUAGGAGUUUAGGUGUGUUUAAUUAGUUUUACUAAGUAUUUGUUAAACCUAUUAGCUCAAAUGGUAGAGCACUAUGGAAAUGCAUAGGGGAUGUAGGUUCGAUUCCUACAUAGGUUGUCUCUAAAAGUAAAAUUAAAAAACUCAAAAGUAAAUCAAAGUAUCUAAAAAGUAAAUCAUAAUAACUCAAAAGUAUCUCGUAACAAAUUAAAUAGUAAAUCAAAAUAUUUCUCUGUAAAAGUAAACUCAUUAGCAAAUAGAAAAUUGAAGAUAAUUAUUACUCCAUCAUCUAUUAGCUAGUGUGUCGCUCGAAGUGAAACAAUUAAAAAGGAAUGAAAGAGAGUAGGGUAGCUUUGGUAAUACAAUUAAGCAUAUGUACAGUUAAAACUCAAAUGUAAAUAAUAUUAACUCAUAAGUAAAUUAAAAAAUCUCAAAAGUAAAUAAAAAAAAGUUUUAAACGUAUUUACCAACAAUGUCCCAAGAGGAUUUGAAGGAAACUCAAAAGCGAACAAACCUACGUGGGAUUCGAACCCACAUCUUUUUGCAUUUACACAAUGCUCUACCAAUUGAGCUAGUAGGACAGUGUUUUUAAUAGAACAAAUAAAAGUAAAGCAAAACCCCCAAAAAAUAAAUCAAAAUAAUUCAAAAGUAAA
Spinacia oleracea (spinach) is the source of this 2215-nucleotide long non-coding RNA. RefSeq lists it as uncharacterized. Lineage: Eukaryota; Viridiplantae; Streptophyta; Magnoliopsida; Caryophyllales; Amaranthaceae. The record is from RefSeq and is a predicted model, not a curated record. The transcript has 3 exons.